GAUGAACGCUAGCUACAGGCUUAACACAUGCAAGUCGAGGGGUAACGAGAGGAAAGCUUGCUUUCCUUGUCGACGACCGGCGCACGGGUGAGUAACGCGUAUCCAACCUGCCCCCAACUAGGGAAUAACCUCGCGAAAGUAAGACUAAUACCCUAUAAUUUCCUCAGAUGUCAUCUGACGAGGAAUAAAGAUUUAUCGGUUGUGGAUGGGGAUGCGUCUGAUUAGCUUGUUGGCGGGGUAACGGCCCACCAAGGCAACGAUCAGUAGGGGUUCUGAGAGGAAGGUCCCCCACAUUGGAACUGGGACACGGUCCAAACUCCGACGGGAGGCAGCAGUGAGGAAUAUUGGUCAAUGGGCGGAAGCCUGAACCAGCCAAGUAGCGUGCAGGAUGACGGCCCUAUGGGUUGUAAACUGCUUUUAUACAGGAAUAAAGUUAGCCACGUGUGGUUAUUUGUAGGUACUGUAUGAAUAAGGACCGGCUAAUUCCGUGCCAGCAGCCGCGGUAA
Molecule: ribosomal RNA, 506 nt
Filed under: uncultured bacterium
Lineage: Bacteria
Description: partial 16S ribosomal RNA
Rfam family: Bacterial small subunit ribosomal RNA
Source: RNAcentral